UUUAGUCCCGCAACGAGCGCAACCCUGAUCUUAGUUGCCAUCAUUUAGUUGGGCACUCUUAGGUGACUGCCGGUGACAAACCGGAGGAAGGUGGGGAUGACGUCAAAUCAUCAUGCCCCUUAUGACCUGGGCUACACCCCCCCUCCCCCCGCCGGUACAAAGAGCUGCAAGACCGCGAGGUGGAGCUAAUCUCAUAAAACCGUUCUCAGUUCGGAUUGUAGGCUGCAACUCGCCUACAUGAAGCGGAAUCGCUAGUAAUCGCGGAUCACCAUGCCGCGGAGAAUACGU
RNAcentral lists this ribosomal RNA (288 nucleotides) under Bacillus anthracis (anthrax bacterium). Its description in RNAcentral is "partial 16S ribosomal RNA". It matches the Rfam family "Bacterial small subunit ribosomal RNA", at positions 1080 to 1371 of the family's 1533-position model. The record is from RNAcentral. Lineage: Bacteria; Bacillati; Bacillota; Bacilli; Caryophanales; Bacillaceae.